Molecule: long non-coding RNA, 376 nt
Organism: Girardinichthys multiradiatus
Lineage: Eukaryota; Metazoa; Chordata; Actinopteri; Cyprinodontiformes; Goodeidae
Exons: 2
Source: RefSeq, a predicted model, not a curated record
CCAGACGGGAGCCGGACAGGAGAGGCACCAAACGCACCUAUGUCUCCUUGCUGCCAAACAGACAUGACUCUUUAACUUGGAUCCAAAAAAGCAGCCCUAAUUGAAGCAGAUUUCCCCCACGGCCUGGAAAAGAAGACCAGGACAGCAUCGCACGGUCGAGGUAGCGAGUGCCGGUGUUGUGCGAAAUUCUGUUCCCCUGAAAUAUUCUGUUCCCCCUGUGUCGGGAGCGCGCACUGCAGCCAGAGAGGCGGAUCCGACCUUCUUCACAGCUUUUCUGAUCGAUUUGUCGGUAAAACGACGAAACGUAUUCAUGUCAAUGUUGUUACUUAAUUUUUAAUCAACAGCUCCUAGAAAAAAUAAAUAAAUACAAAAUGAA